GACGAACCGUGCGAACGUUAUUCGGAAUCACUGGGCUUAAAGCGCGUGUAGGCGGGGCGGCACGUCGGUCGCUGAAAUCCCCCGGCUCAACCGGGGAACGGGCGCCGAUACGACCGUCCUGGAGGGACGUAGGGGGACCUGGAACUUCCGGUGGAGCGGUGAAAUGCGUUGAGAUCGGAAGGAACGCCCGUGGCGAAAGCGGCGACCUGGACAGGCACUGACACUCAACUACGAAAGCGUGGGGAGCAAACAGG
This 254-nucleotide ribosomal RNA is filed under the name uncultured bacterium. RNAcentral's name for it is "partial 16S ribosomal RNA". It matches the Rfam family "Bacterial small subunit ribosomal RNA", at positions 524 to 776 of the family's 1533-position model. The record is from RNAcentral.